GAGGAUGUGGCUCAAGUGGUAGCGCGCUCGCCUGGCAUGUGCGCAGCGCUGGGUUCGAUCCUCAGCACCACA
This 72-nucleotide transfer RNA is filed under the name Marmota monax (woodchuck). Its description in RNAcentral is "tRNA.Ala". The record is from RNAcentral. Lineage: Eukaryota; Metazoa; Chordata; Mammalia; Rodentia; Sciuridae.